UUUAGGAGGGAUAAUUUGCUGUCUCCUAAGAGCCAAACACUUGAGAGUUCCUAGCAGGCAGUGGCUCCUCCUUAGCCCUUCCUCUGAUAGUGACAAACUCGAGACCUCCCUGCUCUUACUAGUUGAGGUCCCUUUGUUUCAAGCAACCUGUGGCCUGGCUUCUCUGACCAGGUCUUGGAGAUGAUAGUUCUACUUGCUUGCCUUCUGUCCUGAUCUUGAAGCUUUCUAAAACUCCCUCUAGGAACAAGCUAUAGAGUAGGUGUGCUACUGGAAAAGCCUGGGCGGAUGUGAGCUUACAUCUGGCAAAACCUAAACGGAGUUGGGAGACCCGCGUGUUUCUCUUCCAACUGAAAACAUCAACGUGGGUUGAAUUGGGACAGCAGGUGGUAGUUAGGGCCUCAGCCAUUGGAGAUGAGGAUUUUUUCUUAGAUUGUACUAUUCAACUCCCAGGGGAGUGCCCAAGUAGGAAUUGGACUGACUGGAGUUUCUCUAACAGAAUCAUAACUACAUAGCUCCUGGAAGCUCCCUGCUGGCCUAGGUUUGGGAUACCACACCUGCAGUCUCGCCUCCCCUGAGAGGGCGAGUAGCUUGUAGAGCUCACACCACAGCUGUGAUGACUGCUACACCCACAGUGUCAUGGUGUUGAGCCUGGCCUGUCUGGAAAGGCCCAGUAUUAAACCAGACUCAGACUGAAUGCUCUGGAAGAAGUGAAGCCUAAGUGCAUGCAAGAGGAACUGGAGGGAAUUGGCAGGCAAAUGAUCACACGGUGUGGUGGUCUGAGAAGUAGGAAAACCAGAGGCCUAGAGGUGGCUCAACCUGCUGACCUGGGGAAAGCAGACCCUGCAGCUGGGAUUGUAUGCACCUGUUGAGCAAGUGCUUCAAAUGACAUACCUUAAGGCACGGAUGAAAGCUGCUUGUUAAUUGCUCAAGGUCUAAAGCAUGGUUCACGAUGGAUUUCACAAGAUCAGAGUUAAGCUAACUGGACUUCUGCCUCAACGUGUAAAGAACUUGGAAGUCAGCUUUCCUGCUGUAAGGAUAGGAAUGAUGAAUUAUCAACUGUUAGAUCAAUCAGAAUUGAGGUCACAGGACUAACUUCUGCCCUGAAAACUACAGACAGCUGCAGAAGAUGGGUUGCCAGGAGCAAAAGCCACAGCUGGAACCAGAAACCAAUCAGGAACACUUAAAGGGUAGUUGACAAAUUGCUGAAGGCUCAGUGUGGACUAGCUUGAGAGUUUAAAAACUCUGGUGGACCCAGUUUUAUGGGACUUGCUACACUUCAUGUGUGUUAUUUCCUGGAUAGGGCAUUGGGCAUGGAGAAAAAGGGUCCAGGGUCUUCAAGAGAAGUAGCCGGCUGAAUGAACAACCUUCUGGAGAUCUGCCUCUAGCCAGGAAGACAACCCAAACAUUGGCUUUGAGCAGGAAGGAAUAGUAGGAAAGUCUGUCCGCUUGAGGAUCCAUGGGUCCCACCUGGCCUUGCUCUAGGCCUGCAUUGCAUGUGGCUGGAGUCGGGUGGGGACUAGGAUCUGAGGGGCACUGUAGGAGCCGGUUCUCAAAGCUCUCAGAACUGAGUGCGCUUCUAGCAGUAGGGCUUUCCCUCUGGUGCUUGGUUGGACAGUGAGUCCUGGUUGUACUAGUGGCCAGCCAGUGGGUUUCCAUGCUCAAUCCUGCCUUGCUGCUUCAUGUGGAAAGCAGAGUGGAAGCUUCUGAUCUUCAUGAGUACAGUUGUCUUGUGUUGCUAGAGUAAUCUCUCAGAUGCCUCAUCAGUUGCGAGUAUUUGGAUAGACGGUAUGUAGGGCAGAAGUCUUCAGCAUAAUUAGAAAAGGGAGCUCUUCGGGACCAAGUUCUCCCUCUGGCUCACAACUUGCAAAUGCUUUAAGUCCACUGGAAGCUGGGCAUUGCCUCACCUGAUCACUUAUGGACUUGAGCCCUCCAUUGAGGGGACAUGGUCUCUUUAAAUCCAAUCCAUUCAUACCCUGCGAUAGGCAAACUCUUGUUCUCACUCAUGCAUUUUUGAGAAUGAACUCUGGCUGUGUAAUUUCAAGUGCUCUAUUGAAGUUGGUGGUUCAGACAGUUCACUGCAAAGGGACUUGGACUGGGAAGGAUUUCAGCUGAGGGCAAGACUCCUUACCUGCCCAGUUUACCCAAGUUAAAUUCCUUUUGUGUCAUUUGCUUAAUGGGCGCGGGUGCUGACAAGCUCACUACUCCAUAAUGAGCUUGUGCUUAACUCGUAAACAUCAACAUCUGUAAAGCUGCUGUCUCAAGCCUCUCCCCUUCAACAGGAUCGCUAGGCCUCCGUUUGACACCUGAUGGCCCCUUUUCCCUCUUCUAGCCGGUAAUGCCUCACACUAUCAGCUAGGUGAGGCUUGCAAAUCAGCCGGCUAACAGACUAACCAAGGAGCCAAAAGGAGGGAUCCUUCCUCUGCCUGGCUAGUGGCCCCAUCCCAAAGGAGGGCCCACCAUGGUGCCACACACUCUUCAUGACUUGGGGAUUGAAGUUGAAGACUUGAGACUAAAGCAAAGGGUCCCAAAGGCAAUGUGACUGCUUCCUUUUCUAACAAUGACACUCAAUUUUAGGGACGCUAUGCUAAAGUUAAAACAGGCCAGAUGCCAAACUCAUCCUCUUCGAACUUUCAAUAAAAUUGUGUUCCUAUAGUAUGGAGUUGUGGGAGAGGCUAUCCUGUCCAGGGGUCUGUACUUUUAAGCUCUUAAGUUGGCCUUGUAAAGGUUCUGUGGUGGCUCGUGCUUGGAAUUUGACUGGAACCAGGGGAUGGUAGAGAGUUUGACUUAGGAUUCUCAGAAUUGGACACAGUCCUCCUGGACCUUUAACUUUGCUCUUAUGGACUUCAUUGACUUCAGUAAUUGCCUUCAUCCAGAGAAGAGUCCUUUCUGAUGAGUAGAUGGUGGCGGUGUUCCUUAGUUCACAGCACACUUGGUACAUGCAAGACCUCUGCAUGGUUAUUUUUUUACCUCCAUUUCCUCACCAUAGGCAAAUACAGGAGUCCC
RNAcentral lists this long non-coding RNA (3003 nucleotides) under Equus asinus (donkey). RNAcentral describes it as "lncRNA (ENSEASG00005027516.1)". The record is from RNAcentral. Lineage: Eukaryota; Metazoa; Chordata; Mammalia; Perissodactyla; Equidae.